This 332-nucleotide ribosomal RNA is filed under the name uncultured eukaryote. RNAcentral's name for it is "partial 18S ribosomal RNA". It matches the Rfam family "Eukaryotic small subunit ribosomal RNA", at positions 1470 to 1796 of the family's 1831-position model. The record is from RNAcentral.
CCCUUAGAUGUUCUGGGCUGCACACGUGCUACACUGGCAGGUUCAGCGAGCUUCAUGCCCUGAUCUGAAAGGAAUGGGAAAUCUUUUCAAAACCUGCCGUGCUUGGGAUAGAUGUUUGCAAUUAUUCAUCUUCAACGAGGAUUGCCUUGUAAGCGCACGUCAUCAGCGUGCAUUGAAUACGACCCUGUAUUCUGUACACACCGCCCGUCGCUCCUACCGGUUGAAGUUUUCGGUGAGUUGACAGGAGGAUUUUUUUGAAACUGGUUCGCCAGUGGAUUUUAGAUCCAAAUGCCAACGAAUCGAUGGCUUUAGAGGAAGGAGAAGUCGUAACA